This 463-nucleotide ribosomal RNA is filed under the name uncultured bacterium. RNAcentral describes it as "partial 16S ribosomal RNA". It matches the Rfam family "Bacterial small subunit ribosomal RNA", at positions 330 to 792 of the family's 1533-position model. The record is from RNAcentral.
GCCAGACUCCUACGGGAGGCAGCAGUGGGGAAUAUUGCACAAUGGGGGAAACCCUGAUGCAGCGACGCCGCGUGAGUGAAGAAGUAUUUCGGUAUGUAAAGCUCUCUCAGCAGGGAAGAAAAACCGACCUUAGGGUCGCUAGACGGUACCUGAUUAAGAAGCCCCGGCUAACUACGUGCCAGCAGCCGCGGUAAUACGUAGGUGGCAAGCGUUGUCCGGAUUUACUGGGUGUAAAGGGCGUGCAGCCGGGAAGACAAGUCAGAUGUGAAAUCCCGCGGCUCAACCGCGGAACUGCAUUUGAAACUGUUUUUCUUGAGUACCGGAGAGGUCAUCGGAAUUCCUUGUGUAGCGGUGAAAUGCGUAGAUAUAAGGAAGAACACCAGUGGCGAAGGCGGAUGACUGGACGGCAACUGACGGUGAGGCGCGAAAGCGUGGGGAGCAAACAGGAUUAGAUACCCUCGUA